CAAACGACUCUCGGCAACGGAUAUCUCGGCUCUCACAUCACAGAAAA
This 47-nucleotide ribosomal RNA is filed under the name Lonicera japonica. RNAcentral describes it as "partial 5.8S ribosomal RNA". Lineage: Eukaryota; Viridiplantae; Streptophyta; Magnoliopsida; Dipsacales; Caprifoliaceae. The record is from RNAcentral.